UUAUCAAAUGCUUUUUCAACAAUAGUUGAAAUGAUCAUAUGGUUUUUGUCCUUCAUUCUGUUGACAUGAUGUAUCACAUUCAUUGAUUUGCAUAUGUUGAGCCAUCCUUGCAUCCCUAGGAUAAAUUCCACUUGGUCACGAUAAAUGAUCUUUUUUUUCUUUUUUCUUUUUUUUUGUGAGACUGAGUCUCGCUCUGUCGCCCAGGCUGGAGUGCAGUGGUGCAAUCUUGGCUUACCGCAACCUCCAUCUUCUGGGUUCAAGUGAUUCUCCUGCCUCAGCCUCCCGAGUAGCUGGGACUACAGGUUUUCCAGGAUUUAGGGAUGGAAGUACUGUCUGGAGUUGCCAAAGGCUAUAACAUAUGCCUUUUUGCUUAUGGACAGACAGGCUCUGGGAAGACAUAUACCAUGCUGGGGACCCCAGCCUCUGUUGGGUUGACACCACGGAUAUGUGAGGGUCUCUUCGUCAGGGAGAAAGACUGUGCCUCACUGCCUUCCUCCUGUAGGAUAAAAGUAAGUUUUCUAGAAAUCUAUAAUGAACGGGUGCGGGAUCUGUUGAAGCAAUCUGGUCAAAAAAAGUCCUAUACCCUGCGGGUCAGGGAGCAUCCAGAGAUGGGGCCCUAUGUACAAGGUUUAUCUCAACAUGUAGUUACCAAUUAUAAGCAAGUAAUCCAACUCUUGGAGGAGGGAAUUGCAAACAGAAUCACAGCAGCCACCCAUGUUCAUGAGGCCAGCAGCAGGUCCCACGCCAUUUUCACGAUCCACUACACGCAGGCAAUCCUGGAGAACAACCUCCCUUCUGAAAUGGCUAGCAAGAUCAACCUUGUGGACCUAGCAGGCAGUGAAAGAGCAGAUCCCAGUUACUGUAAGGACCGCAUUGCUGAAGGAGCCAAUAUCAACAAGUCCCUUGUGACUCUAGGAAUUGUCAUCUCCACCUUAGCCCAGAACUCCCAAGUUUUCAGCAGCUGCCAGAGCCUCAACAGCUCAGUCAGCAAUGGUGGUGACAGUGUGAUCCUUAGCUCUCCUUCUGGGACCAGCAGUGGAGGGGCACCCUCCCGAAGGCAGUCUUAUAUCCCAUACCGAGACUCUGUGUUGACCUGGCUGCUGAAGGACAGCCUUGGAGGCAACUCUAAAACCAUCAUGGUUGCCAGUGAGUGGGAUGCCAGAGCUGGAUCUGUGUUGGGACUGGUACUCUAUCUCAGAGAAAGGGCCAUGGCCCCAGUGAGUGGGAUGCCAGAGCUGGAUCUGUGUUGGGACUGGUACUCUAUCUCAGAGAAAGGGCCAUGACCACCUAGGUUUCUCAUUUCAUCAGGGGUCUUAUACAGCAUGGGCAGUAGUAACAAGGCAAGUGAUUAAGGGCUGGGAUGGAUGGGCUGGCAUGUUUUUAAACUUUCUCCUUCUACCUCAGCGGUGUCUCCUGCACACACUAGCUACAGUGAGACCAUGAGCACACUGAGAUAUGCAUCCAGUGCCAAAAACAUUAUCAACAAGCCACGAGUAAAUGAGAUAGACCAGCUGACUAAAGACUGGACCCAGAAGUGGAAUGAUUGGCAGGCCCUCAUGGAGCAUUACAGUGUGGACAUCAACAGGAGGAGGGCUGGGGUGGUCAUCGACUCCAGCCUGCCACACUUGAUGGCCUUGGAGGAUGAUGUGCUCAGCACAGGUGUUGUGCUCUAUCAUCUCAAGGUGAGGAGGCUGGUGUAUCCUUUUCUUCCUAAGCCACUGGUUCCAGAGGUCAAGGAGGGAAAAGCUAGGAGCAGCAGCCAUGUUACUGUGAAUUGAAAUCAAGACAGAUGCUACAGAGCUGCCUUCAGGUUUGCUCUCAGGAAAUGUCUACCUGACAAAUUGUGAUCUGUUUUGCCUUCGUAUGUAUAGAGCAGAAGACUGGAAAUCAGAACAAUUGUUUUUCAACUGCUGCUACUGUUGUUCUUAUGUAACUUACUUUUGUUCUCUUUGCCUUAAUUGACUCAUUUUAAAGUGAGAAUGAUGCUUACCAUAUUCCUUUUCUGGCUUAGUGAAGCAUAGGGGUAUAGUCAUGGAGAGUGAAACCCUAACCUCCAGAUAACCAUUAGUGCUCCUAAACUCUACAAAUACAGACUGCUCAAAGGUGGCUUUCAGGUUGGGCGCGGUGGCUCACACCUGUAAUCUCAGCACUUUGGGAGGCUGAGGCGGGCAGAUCACUUGAGGUCAGGAGUUCGAGACCAUCCUGGCCAACAUGGUGAAACCCCACCUCUACUAAAAAUACAAAAAUUAGCCGGGCGUGGUGGUGGGAGCCUGUAAUCCCAGCUACUCGGGAGGCUGAGGCGGGAGAAUCACUUGAACCCAGGAGGUGGAGGUUGCAGUGAGCUGAGAUCACGCCACUGCGCUCCAGCCUGGGUGACAAAGUAAGACUCUGUCUC
Molecule: small RNA, 2395 nt
Filed under: Pan troglodytes (chimpanzee)
Lineage: Eukaryota; Metazoa; Chordata; Mammalia; Primates; Hominidae
Description: retained intron
Source: RNAcentral